Long non-coding RNA from Carassius gibelio (silver crucian carp), 288 nucleotides. RefSeq lists it as uncharacterized. The record is from RefSeq and is a predicted model, not a curated record. The transcript has 3 exons. NCBI's taxonomy places the organism in Eukaryota, Metazoa, Chordata, Actinopteri, Cypriniformes, Cyprinidae.
UUUUGGACGUGCAAUUCCCUUUUCUACCAGUAGGGGUAAAAAGAAAGGUUGUGAAAAAAGUCCACUUUCCCCCUCUACUGAUUGACACUGGUUUCAUGUCUCUGUCUCACUGCUGUAAAAAAGUUAUUACAAAAAGAAGGAUAAUUUUGGACAUGCAGUUCCCUAAUCAGCCACUUGUGGUAAAAUGAAAGGUUGUGAAAAAUGUCCACUCUCCCCCUCUAUUGAUUGACAGUGGUUUCAUGUCUCUGUCUCCCUGCUGUAGAAAGUUAUUACAAAAAGAAGGUUCAU